Salvia splendens (bonfire salvia) is the source of this 620-nucleotide long non-coding RNA. RefSeq lists it as uncharacterized. The record is from RefSeq and is a predicted model, not a curated record. NCBI's taxonomy places the organism in Eukaryota, Viridiplantae, Streptophyta, Magnoliopsida, Lamiales, Lamiaceae. The transcript has 2 exons.
CUUCUUGUUUUUGGCCCCGUCACUUCACUGAUAUCACCUGCAUAUAUAUGAUAUCCAUCUGCGUUUGGAAACAUCAUAUUGAGCUACCAAUGGCUACUACAAGUUCUUGCGCAUCUAGUUGCGUAGUAAACUUGAGAAAGAGGAAGGGGGGAGAAGAUCUCCACAAUGAAGGUAACGUGAAGCAGCACCUCCUUUCUUCGGAUAGUGCCCUAGUAGAUGGAACACACCGCUAGUUGAGGUUCUGAUCUCUGUAUUCCAUGAAUACGUCGACGGUGAAGUAAAAGCCGGGCGCCUAAGGAACAUUAUCUUCGAGGAACACGAAUGGGAAAAUGUUGAUUGCGAAGUAGAAGUGGAAAUGAUCCCCGAGCAAGACGAAUGGGAAAAAUUGCAUUGCACUUUCAUCGACAGGGCGAUCGCAGCAAACAUACCGUUCGGAACCAAGGAUCCCCGUUACUGCUUCAGAGAUGCGCCACAAGAUUUUGGCCAUGAUACGCAACUCGUCUUGCUGAAAUGGUUUAGUUCUGUGAUUUGGUUAGAAAGAGGGAAGAAAGAGACUGUAUUUUGUUGUUAAUUUCAUUUUGGUGAUAUAUUAGUAUGAAAUAUUUGCUUCAUUUUAUGUU